AUGGGGAUGCAACAGUCGACGAUGACUGCGUCCGGCGACGGCGCCAAGAGGGCCCUCCGCCGGCUGCCGCACGUGUACAGCAAGGUGCUCGAGCUGCCGCUCCCGGCGGACGCCGACGUCAGGGCGUUCGAGGGCACCACCGCGCUCCACUUCUUCGCGGCCUGCGGCCCCAUGGGCGAGGUGAGGGCGCGCCUCGUCAGGAUUUACCCCGGGGUCGUCAAGGUGGUGGUGGUGCACGUUGGGACCGGAGACGACGAGUAUGGCGACGACAUGGAGCUUGAUAGGUGGAGGUACCGGCUGCCUGAAGACUGUUGCCCGGAGCUGGCUAUGGCCGGGUACGUCGACGGGCAGCUUAUCGUGACGGUGCCCAAGGGCCGCGGCGAGGGCGGCGACGGGGCUCGGAGGUGCUGCAGUGGAGCAGCGGGGGAGAUUGGUGGGAAUCUCGUGGCCGUGCAAUAG
RNAcentral lists this ribosomal RNA (459 nucleotides) under Triticum aestivum (bread wheat). RNAcentral describes it as "partial small subunit ribosomal RNA". Lineage: Eukaryota; Viridiplantae; Streptophyta; Magnoliopsida; Poales; Poaceae. The record is from RNAcentral.